RNAcentral lists this unclassified non-coding RNA (21 nucleotides) under Chlamydomonas reinhardtii. RNAcentral describes it as "small RNA Cre_3181". Lineage: Eukaryota; Viridiplantae; Chlorophyta; Chlorophyceae; Chlamydomonadales; Chlamydomonadaceae. The record is from RNAcentral.
UGCUGCGGCGUGCUGCUGGAC